Balaenoptera acutorostrata (minke whale) is the source of this 928-nucleotide long non-coding RNA. RefSeq lists it as uncharacterized. Lineage: Eukaryota; Metazoa; Chordata; Mammalia; Artiodactyla; Balaenopteridae. The record is from RefSeq and is a predicted model, not a curated record. The transcript is spliced from 7 exons.
GUUAAAGAUACAUUUUAACUAUUAAGAAUAUGUUCAUUGUUCAGAAUAUAUAUUAAUUUGAUUUUACAAUGUGUGUUGAAGACUUUGCUAUAGGUAAACACAGAACCUCUGGAGAGAUACUCAGAUGAAUAAACAGUCUCCAUCCUUGAAGGAGGAUGCUUUCAGUGAGUAAACCAUUACCGACCAAUCACACUGGAAUUUAAACCCAUCUGGGUGAACUUAACGUUCUCCCCCUAAAAGAAGUCAUGGUAAUUUGAUCUACAAUUCAGAAGUGGACCCAGAGAAUGAAUGAGCCUUUCUGAGGAAAAUCCUGUGAGGGAGAAUGAAGGUAUAACACCUGGCUUCCUGGAGACUGUAUAAGAACCUGGUGCUCUGGGCAUCAAUGGGGUGCAGUCUUCUGACCCCAGCUCACAAUAUCACUUCUUGAAGUUCAAGACCAUCACCAUGAAGAUGUGAUUACAUAAUGAGUGUCUCAAGUUGCCAGUUAAGCACCAAAACUCAAAGCCACCAUUACAAUAUGCUGAUGGCAACAUAGAACAUGAGGAGAGGAAUAUCCAGAAUGAGAACUUGCGGAUCUGAGGGAAAUCCACUAUUCAGAAGCAAGGUAAAGUGGUGUCCAGAGCAUGAACGCUGGAGCUGGACUACUUGGAUUCAAAUCCCUGCUCAAUUGUCUGUUGGCUGUGUGACUUAGGGAUGGAUUCUAGAGCCUUCUGGAAUGCAAAUCAGACAAGCAGGAGUGUUGCAGAAAGGAAGAUGCUGCAAAGGACUCCAGCAGCAAAGGAAGUCCUUCUAUAAUGAAGAGUUGAAGGCUGAAGCCGACGCUUGCUGAACGUGGGACAGGCUUGCCACCUCCAUCUUGUCAGUUUUCUCUUGGUGGAUGAUGGGACAAGGGAAGCUUCUCUCAAGAGACAAUUAAAAUAGUGUUUUA